RNAcentral lists this unclassified non-coding RNA (824 nucleotides) under Hevea brasiliensis (rubber tree). The record is from RNAcentral. Lineage: Eukaryota; Viridiplantae; Streptophyta; Magnoliopsida; Malpighiales; Euphorbiaceae.
GUUCAUUGAAGUGCCCAUCUGAAGUUUUUCCCUUUUUUUUUUCACCCUUCAAUCUCCCAAAAUUUUUGCUGCCAUGAAUCCAGUAAUUCUCUUAUUUCUCUCAUCUUUGUUUAUCAAGUCACUGUCUUCAAAGGUUGCGCCAGCCAAAAGCAAUGCCCACAUCACUGUAAUGGGUUUUGUUUAUUGUGACAUCUGCUCCAACAACAGCUUCUCCAGACACAGCUACUUCUUACCAGGNCUUACCAGGCGCAGGAGUUAGAAUAGACUGCAAGUUCAAAGCAAGUUCACCAAAAAUCAAAGAACAAGUAUCGUUCUCAGUAAACAGAACCACAAAUAGGCACGGACUCUACAAGUUGGAAGUACCUUCUGUUGAUGGAAUUGCCUGUGCAGAAGUGGCCAUUGAAUCUUCCUGUGAGGCAAGCUUAAUGUGGAGUUCUUCUAAAUCAUGCAAUGUUCCUGGAUACAAGUCCACAUCAGAUCAGAUAACAAUCAAAGCCAAACGCCCCAAUCUCUGCAUCUAUAGCCUCAAUGCGUUGAAUUUCAGACCAUCAAAGACUGAUCUUACCUUAUGUGGAAAUUAAGAAAAAAGAAAGAUUUCUGCAGUUCUUUCAACCUUUUGGUCACCGAUAUAUGGCUUUCUUCUGUCUAAAUGUCCACCUUUUCUCUUUGGACUCCUCUUCUAUUCCUCCAAUUCCGUCUCUCCUUCAAAAUAAGUGCACUUUCCAUUAAAAUAUGCUCCUAAGCCCAUCACAGGUGAUCACCAUUUGCUAAUGCAGUAUCUUGGGAGCUAAUUAUUUGUUUUAUAUAUUUUUAUUUUGUUGUUU